AGCUUGUUAUUGCAGACAUAGGAAUGUUGGAUAGGCCACACAUAGCUUUGUUGUCACCAGGAAGUACAAACCUCCCCGAUUUUGUUACCUUGAGUCGCCUUAACCGUGGCAUUUAUGUUGUGUGCCGUGUGCCUGUGGAAGAGCACCGCGAGCGCAGCUAGGAACACAGUGGCACAAAGCUCAUGGAGUCAUGUAAAAACUGGAUGCUCCCACUGCUGCAUUGUACGGAAUUUCCAGUGUCAGUAGGUUCUCGCAUCGGAAGGGUAGACGCUGUCCCCUGCUCUAGCGUAGCCCGUGGAUACAGCUCCAUAUCAUCCAGGAUUCCUCCACUGAACGGUCACAGGAUGGUGCAUGCCUGAGACGGCUCUGCACUUAGGUGCAUUGUGCACUGUCACGAGACACGAGCUACUACAACUCUCCCCGAGUGCAUCGUGUAUAGUAUCCAGACUAGCUGCACCGCCACACUGCAUUCAUGUACACUUCCUGCACUUCCGUACUGACCUGGUUG
This is a long non-coding RNA of Sycon ciliatum, 508 nucleotides long. RefSeq lists it as uncharacterized. The record is from RefSeq and is a predicted model, not a curated record. NCBI's taxonomy places the organism in Eukaryota, Metazoa, Porifera, Calcarea, Leucosolenida, Sycettidae. The transcript is spliced from 3 exons.